This is a long non-coding RNA of Heterocephalus glaber (naked mole-rat), 906 nucleotides long. The record is from Ensembl. NCBI's taxonomy places the organism in Eukaryota, Metazoa, Chordata, Mammalia, Rodentia, Bathyergidae.
AAAGGCCCUGCAGCCUGGCGGGGGUGAACUGCUAAGGCUCCCCAUGGAUUUUUGUGUCAUGGCAGCUGGGACAAACCUGAAGACAUCUGGACACUUGGGACAACUUUCCUCAUUGAUAUACCUGAGGUGAUCAUUGCCACACCUGGAUUAUCACAGGGAUCGAACUCAGGUCCUUGCACUUCUGCAGCAGGCGAUGAAACCACUGAGCUAAAUCCCCGGCCCUGAGGUCUUGGAAAGAUUUUCCCUGAAAGCUUUACCUUCAAGGCGACCCAGCUCAGGGCGAGCUGCAUGCGGCCUUCCCUGCAUACCCAGAAUGCCUGGGUCUCCAUUCAUGCUGACAUUGAGGCAGGGUUCCCCAGAAAACAGUCAUUUCAGGGUUGGGCCAUCAACCACACCUCUGCUCAUUCUGCAUGCAACUGCCCCAGCUGUCUAGUCAUCACAAUUUGGGGUUAGGGGUUUGGUUCCAGAACAGCAAACAGCAGCAGCAGCAGCAGCCCCAGCAAUUACUCUUACCACAUAGCCCAAGAAUAUUCCCAGAGUUGUCCCAUCAUGUUCAAUAUCUAGGCCAAUGCUUUUAGCUGUAUUAUCAAGCUUACUGCCAUUUAUAGAUUAAAAAGAAAACACAAAAAAAACCAACCCUGGGGCUAGAGAUUGCAACGUGGAAGACGAGGAUUUAUGUUUGGGUUCAAUUUCUGUAUCUGUACAUUGGAAAUAAUACAUACCACUUAGGGUUGCUGACAGGAUUAAAUAAAUGCUACGUAUGUGUUUACUUGUUUAUUGCCUAUUUUCUGCUCUAGACUAUAAACUCCAGCAAGCAAAGGCCUUCGCUUGUUCAUUGCUCUCUUGACAGAGCCUGAAAUCAGUGCCAGGUACAUAGCAGGUGUUCAAUAAAUUCUUUUUUUUUUU